UACGUAGGGUGCGAGCGUUAAUCGGAAUUACUGGGCGUAAAGGGUGCGUAGGUGGUCGUUUAAGUCCGUUGUGAAAUCCCUGGGCUCAACCUGGGAAUGGCAGUGGAUACUGGACGGCUAGAAUGCGGUAGAGGGUAGUGGAAUUCCCGGUGUAGCAGUGAAAUGCGUAGAGAUCGGGAGGAACACCAGUGGCGAAGGCGGCCAUCUGGGACAACACUGACGCUGAGGCACGAAAGCGUGGGGAGCAAACAGG
Molecule: ribosomal RNA, 253 nt
Filed under: uncultured bacterium
Lineage: Bacteria
Description: partial 16S ribosomal RNA
Rfam family: Bacterial small subunit ribosomal RNA
Source: RNAcentral